AAACCAUGCAUAGGACAUUUUCUAUGUAAUUCCUUAAAUCUUUCCCAGGCUUCGUAAAUCAUUUCAUCCUUUGAUCGUUGAAAAGAUGCGAUAUCAUUUCUAAGCUU
This 107-nucleotide small nucleolar RNA is filed under the name Gossypium arboreum. Its description in RNAcentral is "Plant small nucleolar RNA R71". It matches the Rfam family "Plant small nucleolar RNA R71". From Rfam's summary of the family: R71 is a member of the C/D box family of snoRNAs containing the C (UGAUGA) and D (CUGA) box motifs. The record is from Rfam by way of RNAcentral. Lineage: Eukaryota; Viridiplantae; Streptophyta; Magnoliopsida; Malvales; Malvaceae.